GCGCAAUUGGUCUAGUGGUAUGAUUCUCGCUUAGGGUUCACUCUAAGUUCAAAUGCGAGAGGCCCCAGGUUCGAACCCUGGAUUGCGCC
Non-coding RNA from Cladophialophora bantiana CBS 173.52, 89 nucleotides. The record is from the annotation of a RefSeq genome assembly. NCBI's taxonomy places the organism in Eukaryota, Fungi, Ascomycota, Eurotiomycetes, Chaetothyriales, Herpotrichiellaceae.